Molecule: ribosomal RNA, 253 nt
Filed under: uncultured bacterium
Lineage: Bacteria
Description: partial 16S ribosomal RNA
Rfam family: Bacterial small subunit ribosomal RNA
Source: RNAcentral
UACGUAGGGUGCAAGCGUUGUCCGGAAUUAUUGGGCGUAAAGAGCUCGUAGGCGGUCUGUCACGUCGGGCGUGAAAAUCCAGGGCUUAACCCUGGACCUGCGAUCGAUACGGGCAGACUAGAGUUCGGUAGGGGAGACUGGAAUUCCUGGUGUAGCGGUGAAAUGCGCAGAUAUCAGGAGGAACACCGGUGGCGAAGGCGGUUCUCUGGGCAUUACCUGACGCUGAGGAGCGAAAGCGUGGGGAGCGAACAGG